RNAcentral lists this ribosomal RNA (482 nucleotides) under uncultured Tulasnellaceae. RNAcentral's name for it is "eukaryotic LSU rRNA". The stretch from base 19 to 180 matches the Rfam family "5.8S ribosomal RNA". Lineage: Eukaryota; Fungi; Basidiomycota; Agaricomycetes; Cantharellales; Tulasnellaceae. The record is from RNAcentral.
AAAACCGAGAGACAAUACAACCAGUAGCGUUGGAUCCCUUGGCACGUCGUUCGAUGAAGACCGUUGCAAAAUGCGAUAAGUGGUGUGAUAUGCAAGUCCAAAACUUAUACGUGAACCAUCGAAUUGUUGAACGCACUGCAUCGAGCCUUAUCCAGGAACGAUACGCCCCAUUGAGCGUCAUUAUGUCUUCGCGACUUGUUGCUUUUCACAGAGCGACCUGUCCGGGCUCGGGAUUCACGACCCUUGGGUCGCGCUUCCUCAGAUACAUUGGCUGCGCCGGCGUGAACGGCGACCUUGUCAUGAAUGUCGAGGUGUGCCGUGAGCUCUGCAUGCAGGAUCCUUCGCAACGUCGAUGGAUCAGACGCGUUCCGGCCUCUGAGCCGGGAUUGCAACUUCUCCACAUGACCUCACGGGGGUGGGACGACCCGCUAGACUUAAGCAUAUUAAUCAGCGGAGGAAAAGAAACUAACAAGGAUUCCCCC